GACGAACGCUGGCGGCGUGCUUAACACAUGCAAGUCGAACGGAAAGGCCCUGCUUUUUUGUGGUUCCCGAGUGGCGAACGGGUGAGUAACACGGGAGUCACCUUCCCAGGACUUUGGGAUGACUUCAGGAAACUGGUGCUAAUACCGGCUAGGAGCUCCUGCUGCAUGGUGGGGGUUGGAAAGUUUCGGCGGUUGGGGAUGGACUCGCGGCUUAUCAGCUUGUUGGGGGGGGAGUGGCUUACCAAGGCUUUGAAGGGUAGCCGGCCUGAGAGGGUGAACGGCCACAUUGGGACUGAGAUACGGCCCAGUCUCCUACGGGAGGCAGCAGUGGGGAAUAUUGCACAAUGGGCGGAAGCCUGAUGCAGCAACGCCGCGUGCGGGAUGACGGCCUUCGGGUUGUAAACCGCUUUAGCCUGUGACGAAGCGUGAGUGACGGUAAUGGGUAAAGAAGCACCGGCUAACUACGUG
Molecule: ribosomal RNA, 468 nt
Filed under: uncultured bacterium
Lineage: Bacteria
Description: partial 16S ribosomal RNA
Rfam family: Bacterial small subunit ribosomal RNA
Source: RNAcentral